RNAcentral lists this small RNA (911 nucleotides) under Pongo abelii (Sumatran orangutan). RNAcentral describes it as "retained intron". Lineage: Eukaryota; Metazoa; Chordata; Mammalia; Primates; Hominidae. The record is from RNAcentral.
ACGGGGCUUCCGGUCGGGCGGGUCCGCCCGCUCUCGCGCCCUUUGCCGGGUCCGGACACCGGUUCCGUUGCAAACAUUUUUAAAGGGCUGGUUAUUCUUCGUGAAAUGAGUUUGGUGAUUAGAAAUCUGCAGCGAGUCAUCCCCAUCAGGAGAGCACCACUUCGCAGUAAGAUCGAGAUUGUAAGGAGGAUUUUAGGAGUGCAGAAAUUUGACCUGGGGAUCAUCUGUGUUGACAACAAGAAUAUUCAGCACAUUAAUAGAAUCUACAGAGAUAGAAAUGUCCCAACCGAUGUGCUUUCUUUUCCAUUUCAUGAGCAUCUGAAAGCAGGUGAAUUUCCCCAGCCUGAUUUUCCAGAUGACUACAAUUUGGGAGACAUUUUCCUAGGAGUGGAGUAUAUCUUCCAUCAGUGUCAAGAAAAUGAAGAUUACAAUGAUGUCCUGACUGUAAGCGGGGAUGCUGAAAUCAUAUAACCUGGCUCAUGGAACAUGGGCCUUGCAAAGGGGUCAAGAUCAUAACCCUGCAUCCAUGUGUGUCCGUGGGUACCGUAAGGGCUACUGGGGAAGAACCUGUAAGCAGGGUGUGAGGAGCACCCAGGCUGGGUAGGGACUGCAUGCCUCAUGCCACAGUUGAAGGAGGGAGAGAACAUGCUGUGAAAACACAGAAGCUCCCAGAGAAGCCUUCUCAGCUUUUAUCUCUGGAGUAGAGCAGACUAUGUUGAGCUAACACAGACCUGCUGGAUCAGCUUCUUUCUGAGCUGCCAGAAGUACAGAAGUUGGAGCCUCCACCACCUUCCAGAUGUGUUUCUCCUCAGUGUAAUCCGCCUAUGGGUUCUUCCUGCCCACUGCACAGACAAAACCAAUUCGCUGAGACUGUGGUAUUGCAGUAGAGAAAGAGUUUAACACAGAGCUAG